CCUACGGGUGGCUGCAGUGGGGAAUAUUGGACAAUGGGCGAAAGCCUGAUCCAGCCAUGCCGCGUGUGUGAAGAAGGCCUUCGGGUUGUAAAGCACUUUCAGUGGGGAAGAAAGCCUUGGGGCUAAUACCCUCGAGGAAGGACAUCACCCACAGAAGAAGCACCGGCUAACUCCGUGCCAGCAGCCGCGGUAAUACGGAGGGUGCGAGCGUUAAUCGGAAUUACUGGGCGUAAAGCGCGCGUAGGCGGUCUGAUAAGCCGGUUGUGAAAGCCCCGGGCUCAACCUGGGAACGGCAUCCGGAACUGUCAGGCUAGAGUGCAGGAGAGGAAGGUAGAAUUCCCGGUGUAGCGGUGAAAUGCGUAGAGAUCGGGGGGAAUACCAGUGGCGAAGGCGGCCUUCUGGACUGACACUGACGCUGAGGUGCGAAAGCGUGGGUAGCAAACAGGAUUAGAUACCCUGGUAGUC
Molecule: ribosomal RNA, 465 nt
Filed under: Vreelandella stevensii
Lineage: Bacteria; Pseudomonadati; Pseudomonadota; Gammaproteobacteria; Oceanospirillales; Halomonadaceae
Description: partial 16S ribosomal RNA
Rfam family: Bacterial small subunit ribosomal RNA
Source: RNAcentral